RNAcentral lists this non-coding RNA (23 nucleotides) under Cricetulus griseus (Chinese hamster). Lineage: Eukaryota; Metazoa; Chordata; Mammalia; Rodentia; Cricetidae. The record is from RNAcentral.
CAAAACUGAACCUGUGGAUUAUG